RNAcentral lists this ribosomal RNA (1343 nucleotides) under uncultured bacterium. Its description in RNAcentral is "16S ribosomal RNA". It matches the Rfam family "Bacterial small subunit ribosomal RNA", at positions 28 to 1378 of the family's 1533-position model. The record is from RNAcentral.
GACGAACGCUGGCGGCGUGCUUAACACAUGCAAGUCGAACGGAAAGGCCCUGCUUUUGUGGGGUGCUCGAGUGGCGAACGGGUGAGUAACACGUGAGUAACCUGCCCUUGACUUUGGGAUAACUUCAGGAAACUGGGGCUAAUACCGGAUAGGAGCUCCUGCUGCAUGGUGGGGGUUGGAAAGUUUCGGCGGUUGGGGAUGGACUCGCGGCUUAUCAGCUUGUUGGUGGGGUAGUGGCUUACCAAGGCUUUGACGGGUAGCCGGCCUGAGAGGGUGACCGGCCACAUUGGGACUGAGAUACGGCCCAGACUCCUACGGGAGGCAGCAGUGGGGAAUAUUGCACAAUGGGCGGAAGCCUGAUGCAGCAACGCCGCGUGCGGGAUGACGGCCUUCGGGUUGUAAACCGCUUUCGCCUGUGACGAAGCGUGAGUGACGGUAAUGGGUAAAGAAGCACCGGCUAACUACGUGCCAGCAGCCGCGGUGAUACGUAGGGUGCGAGCGUUGUCCGGAUUUAUUGGGCGUAAAGGGCUCGUAGGUGGUUGAUCGCGUCGGAAGUGUAAUCUUGGGGCUUAACCCUGAGCGUGCUUUCGAUACGGGUUGACUUGAGGAAGGUAGGGGAGAAUGGAAUUCCUGGUGGAGCGGUGGAAUGCGCAGAUAUCAGGAGGAACACCAGUGGCGAAGGCGGUUCUCUGGGCCUUUCCUGACGCUGAGGAGCGAAAGCGUGGGGAGCGAACAGGCUUAGAUACCCUGGUAGUCCACGCUGUAAACGGUGGGUACUAGGUGUGGGGUCCAUUCCACGGGUUCCGUGCCGUAGCAAACGCUUUAAGUACCCCGCCUGGGGAGUACGGCCGCAAGGCUAAAACUCAAAGGAAUUGACGGGGCCCCGCACAAGCGGCGGAGCAUGCGGAUUAAUUCGAUGCAACGCGUAGAACCUUACCUGGGUUUGACAUGGAUCGGGAGUGCUCAGAGAUGGGUGUGCCUCUUUUGGGGUCGGUUCACAGGUGGUGCAUGGCUGUCGUCAGCUCGUGUCGUGAGAUGUUGGGUUAAGUCCCGCAACGAGCGCAACCCUUGUUCACUGUUGCCAGCACGUUAUGGUGGGGACUCAGUGGAGACCGCCGGGGUCAACUCGGAGGAAGGUGGGGAUGACGUCAAGUCAUCAUGCCCCUUAUGUCCAGGGCUUCACGCAUGCUACAAUGGCUGGUACAGAGAGUGGCGAGCCUGUGAGGGUGAGCGAAUCUCGGAAAGCCGGUCUCAGUUCGGAUUGGGGUCUGCAACUCGACCUCAUGAAGUCGGAGUCGCUAGUAAUCGCAGAUCAGCAACGCUGCGGUGAAUACGUUCCCGGG